GGUUGAGUUUAAAUAUCUCAAGGCUGAUCAAAGAUCGAGUUUCAGCAUCUCAAGACUGAUCAAAGAUCGAGUUUCAAUAUAAGUCUUUCAUUAGUAUUAUCUUUACUUAUAUGUGGAAGUACCAACAUUGACAAAUUGGAAUGUUCAUUCAUGUGUAUACUUUAGCAAGAUUACAAUAUCACUGAUAAUACAUAUGGAGAUUAGCUGAGUUCUAUG
This 216-nucleotide long non-coding RNA is filed under the name Elaeis guineensis (African oil palm). RNAcentral's name for it is "long non-coding RNA (EGUI_LNC012391)". The record is from RNAcentral. Lineage: Eukaryota; Viridiplantae; Streptophyta; Magnoliopsida; Arecales; Arecaceae.